ACGCGAAAGGGGCUUCGGCCCUGAGUAGAGUGGCAAACGGGUGAGUAACACGUGGGUGACCCGCCUUCGAGUGGGGGAUAACGUCCCGAAAGGGACGCUAAUACCGCAUGACAUCCUGCUUUUGGAAAAGCGGAGAUCAAAGCUGGGGAUCGCAAGACCUGGCGCUUGAAGAGGGGCCCGCGCCUGAUUAGCUAGUUGGUGGGGUAACGGCCUACCAAGGCAACGAUCAGUAUCCGGCCUGAGAGGGCGGACGGACACACUGGGACUGAGACACGGCCCAGACUCCUACGGGAGGCAGCAGUGGGGAAUUGUUCGCAAUGGGCGCAAGCCUGACGACGCAACGCCGCGUGGAGGAUGAAGAUCUUCGGGUCGUAAACUCCUGUCGAGCGGGACGAAUUGCUUCGGAGUGAAUAGCUCCGGAGUUUGACGGUACCGCUAAAGGAAGCCCCGGCUAACUCCGUGCCAGCAGCCGCGGUAAUACGGGGGGGGCAAGCGUUG
Molecule: ribosomal RNA, 498 nt
Filed under: uncultured bacterium
Lineage: Bacteria
Description: bacterial SSU rRNA
Rfam family: Bacterial small subunit ribosomal RNA
Source: RNAcentral